UACGAAGGGGGCUAGCGUUGUUCGGAAUUACUGGGCGUAAAGCGCGCGCAGGCGGUCUUCCAAGUCAGUGGUGAAAGCCCGGAGCUCAACUCCGGAACUGCCAUUGAAACUGUAAGACUUGAGGAUGAGAGAGGUGAGUGGAAUUCCCAGUGUAGAGGUGAAAUUCGUAGAUAUUGGGAAGAACACCGGUGGCGAAGGCGGCUCACUGGCUCAUUACUGACGCUCAGGGACGAAAGCCAGGGGAGCAAACGGG
This 253-nucleotide ribosomal RNA is filed under the name uncultured bacterium. RNAcentral's name for it is "partial 16S ribosomal RNA". It matches the Rfam family "Bacterial small subunit ribosomal RNA", at positions 524 to 776 of the family's 1533-position model. The record is from RNAcentral.